UACGUAGGUGGCGAGCGUCAUCCGGAUUUACUGGGUGUAAAGGGCGUGUAGGCGGUUUUGUAAGUCGGAUGUGAAAUUCCCAAGCUUAACUUGGGCGCUGCAACCGAAACUGCGAAACUUGAGUACUGGAGAGGAUAGUGGAAUUCCUAGUGUAGCGGUAAAAUGCGUAGAUAUUAGGAGGAACAUCAGUGGCGAAGGCGACUAUCUGGACAGUAACUGACGCUGAGGCGCGAAAGCGUGGGGAGCAAACAGG
This 253-nucleotide ribosomal RNA is filed under the name uncultured bacterium. Its description in RNAcentral is "partial 16S ribosomal RNA". It matches the Rfam family "Bacterial small subunit ribosomal RNA", at positions 524 to 776 of the family's 1533-position model. The record is from RNAcentral.